This 268-nucleotide ribosomal RNA is filed under the name uncultured soil bacterium. RNAcentral's name for it is "partial 16S ribosomal RNA". It matches the Rfam family "Bacterial small subunit ribosomal RNA", at positions 26 to 285 of the family's 1533-position model. The record is from RNAcentral.
AGAAUCAACGCUGGCGGCGUGCCUAACACAUGCAAGUCGAACGCGAAAGUCCCGAAAGGGAUGAGUAGAGUGGCAAACGGGUGAGUAACACGUGGGUGACCUGCCUUCGAGCGGGGGAUAACGUCCCGAAAGGGACGCUAAUACCGCAUGACAUCCUGCCUUUGAAGAGGUGGAGAUCAAAGCUGGGAUCGCAAGACCUAGCACUCGAAGAGGGCCCGCGCCUGAUUAGCUAGUUGGUGGGUAACGCUCACCAAGGCAACGAUCAGUA